UACGGAGGGAGCUAGCGUUGUUCGGAAUUACUGGGCGUAAAGCGUACGUAGGCGGUUAUUCAAGUCAGGCGUGAAAGCCCCGGGCUCAACCUGGGAACCGCGCUUGAGACUGGCACGCUAGAGUUCGGGAGAGGAUGGUGGAAUUCCCAGUGUAGAGGUGAAAUUCGUAGAUAUUGGGAAGAACACCGAUGGCGAAGGCAGCCAUCUGGACCGACACUGACGCUGAGGCGCGAAAGCGUGGGGAGCAAACAGG
This 253-nucleotide ribosomal RNA is filed under the name uncultured bacterium. RNAcentral's name for it is "partial 16S ribosomal RNA". It matches the Rfam family "Bacterial small subunit ribosomal RNA", at positions 524 to 776 of the family's 1533-position model. The record is from RNAcentral.